AACGAACGCUGGUGGCAUGCCUAAUACAUGCAAGUCGAAACGAGAAAGCACUUCGGUGUGAGUACAGUGGCGCACGGGUGAGUAACGCGUAGAUGACGUGCCUAUUAGUGGGGGACAACAUCGGGAAAACCCGUGCUAAUACCGCAUAUUCAAGACGACAUUGAAAAAGUUUUGCAAAGGGGCUUCGGUCCCGCUAGUAGAUCGGUCUGCGUGACAUUAGCUUGUUGGUGGGGUAAUGGCCUACCAAGGCGACGAUGUCUAGCUGGUCUGAGAGGAUGAUCAGUCACACUGGAACUGAGACACGGUCCAGACUCCUACGGGAGGCAGCAGUAGGGAAUAUUGCGCAAUGGGGAAACCCUGACGCAGCAAUGCCACGUGAGUGAGGAAGGCUCUAGGGUCGUAAAGCUCUGUCCUAUAGGAAGAACGGCUUUGGGUAACGCCAAAGUUUGACGGUACUAUAGAAGAAAGCACCGGCUAACUCCGUG
Molecule: ribosomal RNA, 485 nt
Filed under: uncultured bacterium
Lineage: Bacteria
Description: bacterial SSU rRNA
Rfam family: Bacterial small subunit ribosomal RNA
Source: RNAcentral